AUUGAACGCUGGCGGCAUGCCUUACACAUGCAAGCCGAACGGCAGCACGGGAGCAAUCCUGGUGGCGAGUGGCGAACGGGUGAGUAAUAUAUCGGAACGUGCCCAGUGAUGGGGGAUAGCCCGGCGAAAGCCGGAUUAAUACCGCAUACGACCUACGGGUGAAAGCAGGGGAUCGCAAGACCUUGCGUCAUUGGAGCGGCCGAUAUCAGAUUAGCUUGNGGUGGGGUAAAGCCUACCAAGGCGACGAUCUGUAGCUGGUCUGAGAGGACGACCAGCCACACUGGGACUGAGACACGGCCCAGACUCCUACGGAAGGCAGCAGUGGGGAAUUUUGGACAAUGGGCGCAAGCCUGAUCCAGCCAUGCCGCGUGCGGGAAGAAGGCCUCGGUUGU
This 392-nucleotide ribosomal RNA is filed under the name uncultured bacterium. RNAcentral describes it as "bacterial SSU rRNA". It matches the Rfam family "Bacterial small subunit ribosomal RNA", at positions 29 to 426 of the family's 1533-position model. The record is from RNAcentral.